Molecule: long non-coding RNA, 3211 nt
Filed under: Sus scrofa (pig)
Lineage: Eukaryota; Metazoa; Chordata; Mammalia; Artiodactyla; Suidae
Description: lncRNA (ENSSSCG00060031208.1)
Source: RNAcentral
AGUCCUUGGCUUGGACCCAGGGCAGUGGGCCGGGAUCUGGGCACUGUUCCUGUGUGAAGAAUUAGUGGGAACUCUCUAAAGAAGCCGGUCGAGCCUCUGUCCUUGGCCGCCGUCACCCUGUACCCAGGAGCAGGUGACCAUGCCGUAGGACAGCUGCGUGUGAGGUGCCAGAGCCGUGUCAGCACCCUGCUUGCGGUGCCUGUUUUUGAUAAUGAAUUGGGAAUUUUUCUUGAUGGCAGAAAUCUAAAUGCCACUAAAUUGGGGACCUUCAACUUUCGCAUGUAUUUAUGGAGACUCACACAUUAGUUUUGAGAAUGGUUUCCCGCAGCAGCAGCAACAAGAGAGGUGCAAAUCAGUGACUUGGGGUAAACUAACUGAAAAUAAUGAGCAUUUUGAAGCCCUCGAAUGGAGCUAAUUACUAAUUGAGCAAAUAUAGCUAGACUUGAUUUAAACUGGUUCAUAUUGCUAGUAAUUCAUUUUUGAAAUCACUAACCCAUUAAUAAUGAGCCAAGCUUAUGUUUCCCCUCCACCCUGGAGGUAAAAAUGCUAUAGAAUUGGCCUACAUGUGUUUCACCUAUGCCAAAGACGUGUUCUUUGCGUGCUUGGGUUACUGUCAGUCCUGUUUCUGUCUCUUGAGUGGGUGACAUCUCUGCCUUCGAAUGUUCUGCUGGGGAUGGAGAGAGGUGUUUGCCAGAACAAGCCACAACCCCUCAGCCUUCCUCACUGUUGUCCUUGAGCCCUUCUCCUGAGCAUUGCCCUGGUUCUGCAACCCCCCAGCGGGUCAGGUGGAAUCAAGUGGGAUAAAGAGUGCAGAGUCCUGCAUGUCCAGAGGCAGAAGUAUUUGUUCUGAGACAGACUUUGCCUCUGGCUCAGGGCCACUGGACCUCCUUCUCUGCCACAGCUGAGAGGAGGAGCCAUUUGUCUUCCCAGAGGGAACCACAUGGAACGUUGCAUCAGCAUUCUGGGAGUUCCUGCCCAUUGAACCAGGAAUCUUACAGGGAGCCCGUCCUGAAGGUGACUGCUGGAGGUCACACCCACUCCUGCCUGGGGAGCCACAAGGACUCUGUCCCUUGGGCAAGGGAAAGAGACCACUCCUUUACAGCAUUUCAAGGGACUAGAUGGUGCCCAGCUUCCUAUUUUCUUGAAAACAACCUACCCUUGAGAGACAAGCCUGGUGAUGAUCAUAUAUCUUCAUCCCCAGAAGGCCUAGGAAAGACCUGUUUUAUAGGGAAGGACCCUAAACCUCUCCGCUAAUGACUUUCUAUUUGUUGAAUAGAACAGGGGUGCCCAAGAGUGCCCCUGAGGGUGCCUCUAUAGGCCAUGGUGGCAAAGUAGCUUGAACCCUUUCCUCUCUUAGAACUGGGAAGGGACAGUCAUUUUCUGCUGGCCACGUCUGGCAUCAUGUGAGUUUGUUCAUAGCGUUCUGUGGAGCUGGUCCAACCCCAAGGACAUCCUCUCUUUUGGGGUGACUCUCUAGAUGGAAAGCUGACACGUGGACCUCCCCCUAGCCUUCCACUGCCCUCCAAGGAGCUCAGGCACAUGGACACCGUGUACAGCUGGACCAGAAAUAACUCUGGGUCAGCAGAAUGGCACUCGUGGCAUCUCCAUCCAGGAUACUCAGGACAACUAAGGGGCUCAGGAUGGAGGCUGUGACAAAACCCAAGGCCUCCACGUUAGGAGGGGACGGAACCAGACAAAACCCUCAAACCAUGACCCAGACUCCCAGGAUUCCUGUCCGAGACAGAUGUAUAGCUCUUGGGCACAGUGACGCGAGGGCUUGCUGUGGUGGUUCUUGUUUUUGGUGGAGAGGACAAGUGUAGGAAUAACCACGACACCGUUGCCUUUGGCUGUGACCUUGCACCCCCCUAUAGAAAUCUCCCUGGCUGGGAGCCCAGCAGUUCUGCCAGGUUUUAGCUCUGAUGCUAUGAGCAGUACUUUUCAAAUCAGGACUCAGGAGGUGUUCCAGAUCAGGGAAACGGAGGCUGACCGCUUCUAUGAGGUGAGGGCUAGAGAUGCCUUCCCUCCUCACCCCUGCAAUCCCUACCUCCGUGUGAGAGAGGAGAAGGAAGGGGAGGAGAGAGAAGAAAAGCCCAGGCCCCGCCUCCUCAGGGAAAGGCAGGCUGGCCCAGCAUCCCCAGCACGGCUGGCAGGCUCUUUGGGCACCUGGCGUCAGAGUGGAGUGGGUAAAGCGGCACCUGGCAUCUGGGCCCCUUCAGCAGGAGCCUGAGGACAAGGAAAGAGAACAGGUCCAGAGUGUUCUGGGACUCUGAGGGUGUCACAUGGUCUGGGGUGAGGAUCCCGUGUCUAGAAGCUGCUGCAGUAAAGGCAUUUCUACCAUCUGGGGGGCCUCGCUGAAUGGUGUGAUCAAAUGCCACUUCCGGGUCCUAAACCACAAAGGUGGUUUCUUUCCAAUUGCUGAGCAGAGUGGGGCUGCCCAGGAGGUGCGCUGCCAGCAAGGAGCCUGAAUGCAGGGCCAAGCACAAGCCUAAGUUCAAAUCCCAGCUUCAUUUAGGCGCUGGCCCAAGACCUCGGGCAGGACUUUGAACCCUCUUGAGUCUGUUUCCCCAUCAGCAAAAUUAUGCCUGCUUGGCAGGAUUGUUUCAAAGACUGAAAACAGGGUUUGUAAGGGCCACAUGCAUGAUGCAUGGCUCCUGGUAAGCAUUCAGUAAAUGUUAGUUAAAAGAAACAAAGAAAGGAAGGUUCAACCAAGCGUGCAAGGAUGGAAAGGACGUUCAAGGUGGAAGGAAAGGCUUGGGCAAAAGGUCAGAGUCUAGAAGAAGAACUUGGGAGUCCAACUGAGCACAUACAUAUUGUGAACCCAGAUAAUGGUUUUCAGAGGAUGAUCAGUGGAUCUGAAAGUUCAUGAUGGGCUCCUUCUGGAAUCAGGUCUUGUCUGCAAAGAAAUUACAACAUAAAACCAUUAUUGAAACUCAUCAAAUGCUAAACUUGUAAACCAAAAUCAACAAAUGUUCAGAGAAGGAGUUCCCAUCAUGGCGCAGUGGUUAACAAAUCUGUCUAGGAACCAUGAGGUUGCGGGUUCAAUCCCUGGCCUCGCUCAGUGGUUAAGGAUCUGGUGUUGCUGUGAGCUGUGGUGUAGGUCACAGAUGCGGCUCGGAUCCCGCGUUGUUGUGGCUGUGGUGUAGGCUGGCAGCUGCAGCUCCCAUUGGACCCCUAGCCUGGGAACCUCCAUAUGCCACGGGAGCGGCCCUAG